UCUAAAUGGAACAGAGAAUCCUAAAGGGGGAGGAGUAUGGAGGUGUCUAUGCGAGUCUCACCCAAAGGGAGCCUCUGGAUCUUCUUAAGCAGAGGAGUGACCUGGCCAGUCAGACCUGCACUUGAGAGGACUUUCACUUUAGCGUCUGUGUGGAAGAAGUACUGGAGAGCCAAAAGAGUCAUUGAGAGGCUCCUGCCAAUACUCCUGGAAAAGAAGCAAUGGGGACCUACGUUAGUUGGGAAUAGUAAUAGCAAUGCCAAGAGAAAAAAAACACAUCAAUGAAACAAUAAUAAGAUACAGAGAGUCACUGAGAAGCAGGAUAGUGUUAAGAUUACUGUAUUAAAUCUAUUAGAUAUAUAAAAAACAAAACAAAACCCAGCUGUGCAUAACAGAAACGCAUACCUUUAUAUAUGAUUAUCUUUUUCUGCUCUUUUAUGUAUGUGAAAAUGACGUUUUUGUUGAUAAACUUUUUAAUAAAAACACAUUUUUUAAAAAAUGUCAGGAAAUUGAAAAUGUAAAGGGCAAGUGAAUUUGAACAGUUUUUUCUAGGAGUUUGGCUCUGAAAGAAAGGAAAAUGAAGAUGAAAGUCUCAGGGGAUGGUGAAAUUGAAUGCAGGUUUUGUUGUUUUCUGUUUUUAAUUUUAAGGAUGGGAGCAAACCUGCACAGGUUUGAAAGCUAUAGGGAAAACAGUCAGUCUAUCAGGAAAAAAAAAUAAAAAGGACUGGCAUGUGGCAGCAUGGCUACAUGCCUUACUCUAGCAGUGUUCAACA
Molecule: long non-coding RNA, 770 nt
Organism: Sarcophilus harrisii (Tasmanian devil)
Lineage: Eukaryota; Metazoa; Chordata; Mammalia; Dasyuromorphia; Dasyuridae
Exons: 2
Source: RefSeq, a predicted model, not a curated record